This 1849-nucleotide long non-coding RNA is filed under the name Marmota monax (woodchuck). The record is from RNAcentral. Lineage: Eukaryota; Metazoa; Chordata; Mammalia; Rodentia; Sciuridae.
GUUAAGCAGAAUAGUGGCAUGGACAUGGCAGGUCAUGAUAAGACUAGUUCCUAGGGUUCAGGGUAGUACCAGGGAGGGUGGACCAUCUCUGUGGAGGGUGGAGCUGUUUUCCAAAGAUAGUCCCUUCUGGGGACUGGACCCAGAAAUUUGCAGGAUGAAUGCUCUGCCACUGAGCUAGCCACUCCCCCCAUGUGUCAUCUUAGGGACAUAUGUGUGUGUCAGAAAACAAAUGGGCUGGGCUGAGUGGCUGUGGGAGAAAAGAAACCAGCCCAUGGCUCUUCGUUGGAACUCACUUCCUGCAACCACUUGGGGUCAUUUUGUUUUCCAUACCCAGGAAUGGAAUAGAUUUGGGUUAAAGGAAGAGUCUGGUGGCAUUAGAGGGGGAUGUGGUUUAUGCCUGAGAGUGUAUAGGUGACUUUAUUUCUGCCUCCAGUAGGAAUGGUGAGUCCUGUUGGAUACAUGUUCAGACUGCCUGGCUCCUAAACCAGACUGGCUUCCCAGAUCUGCCUGCCCCAAAUUCCCCUCCAGUCCCUGGGCUCUUACCAUGCUGUCUGACACUGCCUGUGACCCUGCUCACUUGCCCCAACUCCAAACCCUUGCUCCAGUGUCUUGCCCAGCUGGAGCCCCCACCCCAACAAGCAUCCUGAACAUAUUCACUCUCAGUGACACCUGCCUCUGCAGAAUGCAAGGAGCUCCAAGUCUGGGGACUUGACCAAACACUGCUGUGACUACUUGACAUCUUUGUUCUUCAGGGUGUGGUAAGAACCUGAAAGUGGGGGAGUGUGUGGAAAUAACACCCUGUGGGUCUUCUGCCCUGGCUCUGCACUGGGUGAAGGAAGCUACCUGUUGUCUUUGGCUGAGGAUGAUCAAGAGUUUUGAAAUCAAACCGUGAGAGGCUCAACUUCUGCCAGCUCCUAAGGUCUUGUGCAAGAUGGCUAUGCUGGGACCUAGCAUUCUGUUCCUCCAAAAACAGUGACCAAGCAGAUUGCCAGUCUUUCCAAAAGAAAGAUGUUAGAUGAGAAGUGAAAUGGCAGGAUGAGGUGUAUGAGAAGGAGGGCUUUUAGCAAGAAGCAGGGGUGCACACCUGUGGUCCCAGCGCUUGGGUGCCUGAAGCAGGGGAUUGCUUGAGCACAGAGUUCAGAGCCAGGCUGGCUAGGCUGGCCCCCAUCUAAGAACUAAUCAGAGAAGAUGGGGUCUUCAUCAAGUUUGACUGCCCUGGAGAAGCAGAAGCCAGUGAUUCAGGGGAGUGUCACAUGGGCGCUCGUGGGGAUUUCCAGUAUGAAAAUACCUCCCUGACCUUGACUCAUGAACAGGCAGUGUUGGGGGAGGCCAGAAGUGCGGGGUCCACUGAGAUUGGAGAGAUGCUGGUGAGACUGCAGUGCUAAUUUGGGGCACUGUCCCCCUAGAAGUGUGUGCCUGUUGGCUAGCUGUCUUCCCAUGGGUAAAGGUGGCUAGCUACCCAAGGCCUCUACAGAACUGAAAUCACCACACAUGAGGUUCAGAGGGCCUUAGUCCUCCAGCAACACUCCAGGGUUCUUCCAGGCCUAGGCAUGGGUCUUCUCUAAUCUGCUUUUGCACUUUUAAAAUGGGAAGGCGUGGUGGUGCACACCUGUAAUCCCAAUGAUUCUGGAGGCUGAGGCAGGAGGAUUUCAAGUUCAAGGCCAGCCUCAGCAACUUAGGGAAGCCUGACUUAAAAUAAAACAAAAGAUCUGGAUGUAUCUCUGUAGUAUACCAUCCCCAGUACCACCCCCACUCCCAUUUCACCCCCCCCACAAAAAAAAAUAAAUAAAAAUGAAUAGGGAAAAAAUGUCUAGAUGAAUUUACCAUAUGGCAUUCAGUCUUGGGGACU